CGCCCAGACUCCUAUGGGAGGCAGCAGUGGGGAAUAUUGCACAAUGGGGGAAACCCUGAUGCAGCGACGCCGCGUGAGCGAUGAAGUAUUUCGGUAUGUAAAGCUCUACCAGCAGGGAAGAAAAUGACGGUACCUGACUAAGAAGCCCCGGCUAACUACGUGCCAGCAGCCGCGGUAAUACGUAGGGGGCAAGCGUUAUCCGGAUUUACUGGGUGUAAAGGGAGCGUAGACGGCGAUGCAAGCCAGAUGUGAAAGCCCGGGGCUCAACCCCGGGACUGCAUUUGGAACUGUAUAGCUAGAGUGUCGGAGAGGCAGGCGGAAUUCCUAGUGUAGCGGUGAAAUGCGUAGAUAUUAGGAGGAACACCAGUGGCGAAGGCGGCCUGCUGGACGAUGACUGACGUUGAGGCUCGAAAGCGUGGGGAGCAAACAGGAUUAGAUACCCCCGUAU
Molecule: ribosomal RNA, 448 nt
Filed under: uncultured bacterium
Lineage: Bacteria
Description: bacterial SSU rRNA
Rfam family: Bacterial small subunit ribosomal RNA
Source: RNAcentral